RNAcentral lists this ribosomal RNA (915 nucleotides) under Triticum aestivum (bread wheat). RNAcentral describes it as "partial small subunit ribosomal RNA". The record is from RNAcentral. Lineage: Eukaryota; Viridiplantae; Streptophyta; Magnoliopsida; Poales; Poaceae.
AUGCCUCCCAAAGCUCCUAAAGCAUCCAUCACUUGCAAUUGGAUGAGGUCCAAUGUCACCGACGAGACCUUAGCGGAUUUUGUAAAGUCAGGUUACCUGCCUAAGAAGGACGUCAUGUCCUACCGUGCCCCUGACCCGUCAGAGGAGAGACCACAGCCAAAGGACGGGGAGGUAGUGAUUUUUGCGGAUCACAUGAGCCGGGGCUUCGCACCGCCCGGCUCAAAGUUUUUUAGAGAUGUGCUGAACUUCUUUGAUCUGCGGCCACAAGACAUAGGACCCAAUUCUGUGUCCAAUAUAUGCAACUUCCAAGUGUUCUGCGAAGUCUACCUUGGAGAAGAGCCCAACUUGCUGCUCUUCAGAGAGCUUUUCUACCUGAACCGUCAGAACGAGUGCGCCAACGGGCCAAGCUUGGAACUUGGUGGCAUCUCCAUUCAGCGACGGAGAGACUGCCUUUUGCCUUACGCCGAGCGGCCAAGCCACCCAAAGGACUGGAACCAGACGUGGUUCUAUUGCCAAGACACGUCGCCGGCUGACGAGAGUCCGCUGCCCGGCUUUCGCCCCUCGCGUCUGGAACCAACACACCCUCUGUCAGACAAGCUGACUCAAGCGGAGCACCAACCUCUGCUCCCCACUAUUAACAAGAUCAAGGCUCUUCUGGGCAAUGGUCUCAACGGAAUUGAUCUGGUCCGGGUCUGGAUCUCGUGGCGGGUGAUCCCCCUGAGCCGCCGCCCCGGCUUAAUGUGUGAAUACACAGGCCGGAAAGAUGACCCCCUGCGACACAGCCGCAACGAUCUUCCUGAAGACGUUGCUGAAGACAUGACCAAGGCCCUUUUAAAUGAGAGCUUGGCAGACUGUGGGAGGACCGGGUUAGCCCCCUUCUGCAAGACCAACCCAGCCCCAGCAGUAAGCCGCUGA